UGGGGAAUUUUGGACAAUGGGGGAAACCCUGAUCCAGCCAUCCCGCGUGUGCGAUGAAGGCCUUCGGGUUGUAAAGCACUUUUGGCAGGAAAGAAACGUCGUGGGUUAAUACCCCGCGAAACUGACGGUACCUGCAGAAUAAGCACCGGCUAACUACGUGCCAGCAGCCGCGGUAAUACGUAGGGUGCAAGCGUUAAUCGGAAUUACUGGGCGUAAAGCGUGCGCAGGCGGUUCGGAAAGAAAGAUGUGAAAUCCCAGAGCUUAACUUUGGAACUGCAUUUUUAACUACCGGGCUAGAGUGUGUCAGAGGGAGGUGGAAUUCCGCGUGUAGCAGUGAAAUGCGUAGAUAUGCGGAGGAACACCGAUGGCGAAGGCAGCCUCCUGGGAUAACACUGACGCUCAUGCACGAAAGCGUGGGGAGCAAACAGGAUUAGAUACCCUGGUAGUCCACGCCCUAAAACGAUGUCAACUAGCUGUUGGGGUCUUCGGACCUUGGUAGCGCAGCUAACGCGUGAAGUUGACCGCCUGGGGAGUACGUCGCAAGAUU
RNAcentral lists this ribosomal RNA (547 nucleotides) under uncultured bacterium. RNAcentral describes it as "partial 16S ribosomal RNA". It matches the Rfam family "Bacterial small subunit ribosomal RNA", at positions 355 to 895 of the family's 1533-position model. The record is from RNAcentral.